AUUGAACGCUGGCGGCAGGCCUAACACAUGCAAGUCGAACGGUAACAGGAAGCAGCUUGCUGCUUCGCUGACGAGUGGCGGACGGGUGAGUAAUGUCUGGGAAGCUGCCUGAUGGAGGGGGAUAACUACUGGAAACGGUAGCUAAUACCGCAUAACGUCGCAAGACCAAAGAGGGGGACCUUAGGGCCUCUUGCCAUCGGAUGUGCCCAGAUGGGAUUAGCUAGUAGGUGGGGUAACGGCUCACCUAGGCGACGAUCCCUAGCUGGUCUGAGAGGAUGACCAGCCACACUGGAACUGAGACACGGUCCAGACUCCUACGGGAGGCAGCAGUGGGGAAUAUUGCACAAUGGGCGCAAGCCUGAUGCAGCCAUGCCGCGUGUAUCAAGAAGGCCUUCGGGUUGUAAAGUACUUUCAGCGGGGAGGAAGGGAGUAAAGUUAAUACCUUUGCUCAUUGACGUUACCCGCAGAAGAAGCACCGGCUAACUCCGUG
RNAcentral lists this ribosomal RNA (490 nucleotides) under uncultured bacterium. Its description in RNAcentral is "partial 16S ribosomal RNA". It matches the Rfam family "Bacterial small subunit ribosomal RNA", at positions 30 to 507 of the family's 1533-position model. The record is from RNAcentral.